Molecule: small RNA, 498 nt
Filed under: Drosophila pseudoobscura pseudoobscura
Lineage: Eukaryota; Metazoa; Arthropoda; Insecta; Diptera; Drosophilidae
Description: GA31038
Source: RNAcentral
CAACAUAUUUCCGACAAAGAAAAUGCUGAAAAUUGAUAACCACGCAAGCUGGGGCGCAACAACAAUAAAUCGCAAGUGGCAAGUGGCAUGUGGCAAGCGUAGCAGUGCGCAAAUGUAAAAUGCAGCGAAUAUUCGCAUGUGCAGUGUGAUAAUAAAUAAACGCAGGGUCCAAAAAACGCGAGCGACGACGCAGGGGCAAAGCAAACACAACAACGUCGCAGCAGCGGCAGUAGCAGCGUUUUGGCGGCGGCGGCGCGUGUGUAUUUCUAUGUAUAGAUGUGUGCGUGUUUGUACGAGAGUAACUGUUCCAACAGGAGAACACCGUUAAGCAGCAGUCCCAGUGGCCAGGAAGGAGGCAACAUCCUCAUCUAUUAGACACACGCAGCUCUUAUCAUCACACAGUGCGCAUGCGAAUAAGGGGCCACAAGUCGAAGGAACGAAGGUGAAGGAGGACCGGACCGGACAAGACCAGACUAGAGGACCAGACAAAGAGACAGA